Molecule: small nucleolar RNA, 107 nt
Organism: Gossypium arboreum
Lineage: Eukaryota; Viridiplantae; Streptophyta; Magnoliopsida; Malvales; Malvaceae
Rfam family: Plant small nucleolar RNA R71
About the family: R71 is a member of the C/D box family of snoRNAs containing the C (UGAUGA) and D (CUGA) box motifs. Multiple nearly identical copies of this snoRNA have been identified in Arabidopsis, and it is thought to function as a 2'-O-ribose methylation guide for 18S ribosomal RNA.
Source: Rfam
AACCCAUGGUAAGGGCACCUUCUCAAUAAAUCCUUAUACCUCUCUCAUGCAUUGAAUAGCGUCUUUAAGUCCAUUUGUACAAAGAAAGAGAUAUCAUUCCUCAACUU